GAGACAGCAGUAGCCACGGUAAUACAGAGGGUGCGAGCGUUAAUCGGAUUUACUGGGCGUAAAGCGUGCGUAGGCGGCUAAUUGAGUCGGAUGUGAAAUCCCCGAGCUUAACUUGGGAAUUGCAUUCGAUACUGGUUAGCUAGAGUGUGGGAGAGGAUGGUAGAAUUCCAGGUGUAGCGGUGAAAUGCGUAGAGAUCUGGAGGAAUACCGAUGGCGAAGGCAGCCAUCUGGCCUAACACUGACGCUGAGGUACGAAAGCAUGGGGAGCAAACAGGAUUAGAUACCCCCGUAGUCCCUGUCUCUUAUAC
RNAcentral lists this ribosomal RNA (308 nucleotides) under uncultured bacterium. Its description in RNAcentral is "partial 16S ribosomal RNA". It matches the Rfam family "Bacterial small subunit ribosomal RNA", at positions 505 to 807 of the family's 1533-position model. The record is from RNAcentral.